RNAcentral lists this ribosomal RNA (320 nucleotides) under uncultured Allantion. Its description in RNAcentral is "SSU rRNA". The stretch from base 108 to 320 matches the Rfam family "Eukaryotic small subunit ribosomal RNA", at positions 741 to 955 of the family's 1831-position model. The record is from RNAcentral. Lineage: Eukaryota; Cercozoa; Glissomonadida.
GAUUUCUGGUUGACUCGUCUGAUCCGUCGAUUUCGGUCGACGUGUAUUGGCGCGAGUUUGCCAUCCAUGUGGGUUGGGCGCUACUGGCUCUGCCAGCUGGUGUUCCGAUCUACAUCUUUUACUUUGAAAAAAUUAGAGUGUUUAAAGCAGGCUUUUGCUGUGAAUACAUUAGCAUGGAAUAAUAAUAUAGGACUUCGGUCUCUAUUUGUUGGUUCAUAGAACUGAAGUAAUGAUUGAUAGGGAUAGUUGGGGGUGCUCGUAUUCAGCGGCCAGAGGUGAAAUUCUUGGAUUCGCUGAAGACGAACUUAUGCGAAAGCAUU